Molecule: transfer RNA, 57 nt
Filed under: Coronella girondica
Lineage: Eukaryota; Metazoa; Chordata; Lepidosauria; Squamata; Colubridae
Description: tRNA-Ser
Source: RNAcentral
CGUGGGUGCCAUAAGAUCUGCUAAUUCUUUAACCUGGAAUUAAACACCAGCUCCCUC